CAGUCGCCGCGGUAAUACAGAGGGUGCGAGCGUUAAUCGGAUUUACUGGGCGUAAAGCGUGCGUAGGCGGCUUCUUAAGUCGGGUGUGAAAUCCCUGAGCUUAACUUAGGAAUUGCAUUCGAUACUGGAAGCUAGAGUAUGGGAGAGGAUGGUAGAAUUCCAGGUGUAGCGGUGAAAUGCGUAGAGAUCUGGAGGAAUACCGAUGGCGAAGGCAGCCAUCUGGCCUAAUACUGACGCUGAGGUACGAAAGCAUGGGGAGCAAACAGGAUUAGAUACCCCGGUAGUCCCUGUCUCUUAUACC
RNAcentral lists this ribosomal RNA (301 nucleotides) under uncultured bacterium. Its description in RNAcentral is "partial 16S ribosomal RNA". It matches the Rfam family "Bacterial small subunit ribosomal RNA", at positions 509 to 808 of the family's 1533-position model. The record is from RNAcentral.